ACCAGACUCCUACGGGAGGCAGCAGUGGGGGAUAUUGCACAAUGGGGGGAACCCUGAUGCAGCGACGCCGCGUGGGUGAAGAAGCGCCUCGGCGCGUAAAGCCCUGUCAGCAGGGAAGAAAAUGACGGUACCUGAAGAAGAAGCCCCGGCUAACUACGUGCCAGCAGCCGCGGUAAUACGUAGGGGGCAAGCGUUAUCCGGAUUUACUGGGUGUAAAGGGGGCGCAGACGGCGAUGCAAGCCAGGAGUGAAAGCCCGGGGCCCAACCCCGGGACUGCUCUUGGAACUGCGUGGCUGGAGUGCAGGAGGGGCAGGCGGAAUUCCUGGUGUAGCGGUGAAAUGCGUAGAUAUCAGGAGGAACACCGGUGGCGAAGGCGGCCUGCUGGACUGCAACUGACGUUGAGGCCCGAAAGCGUGGGGAGCCAACAGGAUUAGAUACCCGAGUA
Molecule: ribosomal RNA, 445 nt
Filed under: uncultured bacterium
Lineage: Bacteria
Description: partial 16S ribosomal RNA
Rfam family: Bacterial small subunit ribosomal RNA
Source: RNAcentral